This 484-nucleotide ribosomal RNA is filed under the name uncultured bacterium. RNAcentral's name for it is "bacterial SSU rRNA". It matches the Rfam family "Bacterial small subunit ribosomal RNA", at positions 29 to 507 of the family's 1533-position model. The record is from RNAcentral.
AUUGAACGCUGGCGGCAUGCCUAACACAUGCAAGUCGAACGGUAACAGGUCCUUCGGGAUGCUGACGAGUGGCGGACGGGUGCGUAACGCGUGGGAAUCUGCCCAAUAGUGGGGGAUAACCCGGGGAAACUCGGGCUAAUACCGCAUACUCCCUACGGGGGAAAGCGGGGGACCGCAAGGCCUCGCGCUAUUGGAUGAGCCCGCGUCCGAUUAGCUUGUUGGUGGGGUAAAAGCCUACCAAGGCGACGAUCGGUAGCUGGUCUGAGAGGACGACCAGCCACACUGGGACUGAGACACGGCCCAGACUCCUACGGGAGGCAGCAGUGGGGAAUAUUGGACAAUGGGGGAAACCCUGAUCCAGCAAUGCCGCGUGUGUGAAGAAGGCCUGCGGGUUGUAAAGCACUUUCGGCAGGAAAGAAAAGUCAUGCGCCAAUACCGCAUGUCCUUGACGUUACCUGCAAAAGAAGCACCGGCUAACUCCGUG